GUGUAGUCCUGUAACUACCUCUGUAGACC
Molecule: non-coding RNA, 29 nt
Filed under: Cricetulus griseus (Chinese hamster)
Lineage: Eukaryota; Metazoa; Chordata; Mammalia; Rodentia; Cricetidae
Source: RNAcentral